Molecule: ribosomal RNA, 254 nt
Filed under: uncultured bacterium
Lineage: Bacteria
Description: partial 16S ribosomal RNA
Rfam family: Bacterial small subunit ribosomal RNA
Source: RNAcentral
UACGAAGGGGGCUAGCGUUGUUCGGAAUCACUGGGCGUAAAGCGCACGUAGGCGGAUCUUUAAGUCGGGGGUGAAAUCCCGAGGCUCAACCUCGGAACUGCCUUCGAUACUGGCGACCUUCGAGUCCGGGAGAGGUGAGUGGAACUCCGAGUGUAGAGGUGAAAUUCGUAGAUAUUCGGAAGAACACCAGUGGCGAAGGCGGCUCACUGGCCCGGUACUGACGCUGAGAUACGAAAGCGUGGGGAGCAAACAGG